CACAUCACAUUGAAACACUUUCCUGUAUGAUCACUGAAGUUAAGCAAGGUCAAGCCUUCUUAGUACCUAGAUGGGUGACUGCUUGGGAAUGCCAAGUGUUGUAA
Molecule: non-coding RNA, 104 nt
Organism: Acanthosepion pharaonis
Lineage: Eukaryota; Metazoa; Mollusca; Cephalopoda; Sepiida; Sepiidae
Source: the annotation of a GenBank genome assembly